UGCCAAUUGAUAGAAAAGUUCUCUGGAUAGUAAAUUUUUGACAGCUAUGAGGUGAAUAAAAAUGUUUGAUACGGCAGGGCUAGUGAAAAAUUUGACAGCAAGCAUUAUCAAGAAGAAGAACGAACAACGCACGUAUACACAUAAAUUAGAGAAAACAAAAGCGAGUGGAAAUAAAAGAACAUGGUCCCGCCGGCAAAAAAAAAUAAAGAAAAGCUAUAUAACUUGGAGCAGUUCAGAACGCAGAAUCCUUCUGGAAAAGCGCAUUGACAAGGAUGUUUGGUUCA
Molecule: long non-coding RNA, 284 nt
Organism: Rhagoletis zephyria (snowberry fruit fly)
Lineage: Eukaryota; Metazoa; Arthropoda; Insecta; Diptera; Tephritidae
Source: RefSeq, a predicted model, not a curated record